Molecule: ribosomal RNA, 415 nt
Filed under: uncultured eukaryote
Lineage: Eukaryota
Description: bacterial SSU rRNA
Rfam family: Eukaryotic small subunit ribosomal RNA
Source: RNAcentral
CAAUAGCGUAUAUUAAAGUUGUUGCAGUUAAAAAGCUCGUAGUUGGACUUCUGAUGUGGAGGGACGGUCCGCCUCACGGUGAGCACUGAUUCUUCACGUCUUCCUCUCGUAGUCUUUUGGCGCACUUAGUUGGGUGCCUUUAGAAUAUGGGACCUUUACUUUGAAAAAAUUAGAGUGUUCAAAGCAGGCAAUCGCUUGAAUACAUUAGCAUGGAAUAAUAGAAUAGGACUUUGGUUCUAUUUUGUUGGUUUCUAGGACCGAAGUAAUGAUUAACAGGGACAGUCAGGGGCACUCGUAUUCCGCCGAGAGAGGUGAAAUUCUCAGACCAGCGGAAGACGAACCACUGCGAAAGCAUUUGCCAGGGAUGUUUUUCACUGAUCAAGAACGAAAGUUAGGGGAUCGAAGACGAUCAGAU